This 804-nucleotide ribosomal RNA is filed under the name Niesslia nieuwwulvenica. RNAcentral's name for it is "partial large subunit ribosomal RNA". It matches the Rfam family "Eukaryotic large subunit ribosomal RNA", at positions 76 to 911 of the family's 3401-position model. Lineage: Eukaryota; Fungi; Ascomycota; Sordariomycetes; Hypocreales; Niessliaceae. The record is from RNAcentral.
UGCCCUAGUAACGGCGAGUGAAGCGGCAACAGCUCAAAUUUGAAAUCUGGCCUCACGGUCCGAGUUGUAAUUUGCAGAGGAUGCUUUGGGCGCGGCGCCUUCCGAGUUCCCUGGAACGGGACGCCACAGAGGGUGAGAGCCCCGUCUGGUUGGACGCCUAGCCUAUGUAAAGCUCCUUCGACGAGUCGAGUAGUUUGGGAAUGCUGCUCUAAACGGGAGGUAUAUGUCUUCUAAAGCUAAAUAUUGGCCAGAGACCGAUAGCGCACAAGUAGAGUGAUCGAAAGAUGAAAAGCACUUUGAAAAGAGGGUUAAAUAGUACGUGAAAUUGUUGAAAGGGAAGCGCUCGCGACCAGACUUGGGCCCGGCGGAUCACCCGGCGUUCUUCGCCGGGGCACUCCACCGGCCCAGGCCAGCAUCGGUUCGCCUCGGGGGAUAAAGGCGGUGGGAACGUAGCUCCCUCGGGAGUGUUAUAGCCCGCCGUGUAAUACCCUGCGGCGGACCGAGGACCGCGCAUUUGCAAGGAUGCUGGCGUAAUGGUCGUCAGCGACCCGUCUUGAAACACGGACCAAGGAGUCGUCUUCGUAUGCGAGUGUUCGGGUGGAAAACCCCUACGCGUAAUGAAAGUGAACGCAGGUGAGAGCUUCGGCGCAUCAUCGACCGAUCCUGAUGUUCUCGGAUGGAUUUGAGUAAGAGCAUACGGGGCCGGACCCGAAAGAAGGUGAACUAUGCCUGUAUAGGGUGAAGCCAGAGGAAACUCUGGUGGAGGCUCGCAGCGGUUCUGACGUGCAAAUCGAUCGUCAAAUA